This 254-nucleotide ribosomal RNA is filed under the name uncultured bacterium. RNAcentral's name for it is "partial 16S ribosomal RNA". It matches the Rfam family "Bacterial small subunit ribosomal RNA", at positions 524 to 776 of the family's 1533-position model. The record is from RNAcentral.
UACGUAGGGGGCAAGCGUUGUCCGGAAUCAUUGGGCGUAAAGGGCGCGUAGGUGGCCUGUGCAAGCGUGCGGUGAAAGCUCGGGGCUCAACCCCGAGUCGGCCGUGCGAACUGCUGGGCUCGAGCACUGUAGAGGCAGUCGGAAUUCCGGGUGUAGCGGUGGAAUGCGUAGAGAUCCGGAAGAACACCGGUGGCGAAGGCGGCCUGCUGGGCAGUGGCUGACACUGAGGCGCGACAGCGUGGGGAGCAAACAGG